This 465-nucleotide ribosomal RNA is filed under the name Vreelandella stevensii. RNAcentral describes it as "partial 16S ribosomal RNA". It matches the Rfam family "Bacterial small subunit ribosomal RNA", at positions 338 to 795 of the family's 1533-position model. Lineage: Bacteria; Pseudomonadati; Pseudomonadota; Gammaproteobacteria; Oceanospirillales; Halomonadaceae. The record is from RNAcentral.
CCUACGGGAGGCAGCAGUGGGGAAUAUUGGACAAUGGGCGAAAGCCUGAUCCAGCCAUGCCGCGUGUGUGAAGAAGGCCUUCGGGUUGUAAAGCACUUUCAGUGGGGAAGAAAGCCUUGGGGCUAAUACCCUCGAGGAAGGACAUCACCCACAGAAGAAGCACCGGCUAACUCCGUGCCAGCAGCCGCGGUAAUACGGAGGGUGCGAGCGUUAAUCGGAAUUACUGGGCGUAAAGCGCGCGUAGGCGGUCUGAUAAGCCGGUUGUGAAAGCCCCGGGCUCAACCUGGGAACGGCAUCCGGAACUGUCAGGCUAGAGGGCAGGAGAGGAAGGUAGAAUUCCCGGUGUAGCGGUGAAAUGCGUAGAGAUCGGGAGGAAUACCAGUGGCGAAGGCGGCCUUCUGGACUGACACUGACGCUGAGGUGCGAAAGCGUGGGUAGCAAACAGGAUUAGAUACCCUUGUAGUC